Molecule: ribosomal RNA, 426 nt
Filed under: uncultured bacterium
Lineage: Bacteria
Description: partial 16S ribosomal RNA
Rfam family: Bacterial small subunit ribosomal RNA
Source: RNAcentral
GUGAGGAAUUUUCCGCAAUGGGCGAAAGCCUGACGGAGCAAUGCCGCGUGAAGGAUGAAGGCCUAUGGGUUGUAAACUUCUUUUCUCAGAAAAGAAUUAUGACGGUAUCUGAGGAAUAAGCAUCGGCUAACUCUGUGCCAGCAGCCGCGGUAAGACAGAGGAUGCAAGCGUUAUCCGGAAUGAUUGGGCGUAAAGCGUCUGUAGGUUGUUUAAAAAGUAUUCUGUCAAAGAUUAGGGCUUAACCCUAGAUAGGCAGAAUAAACUUUUAAGCUAGAGUUUGGUAGAGGCAGAGGGAAUUCCCGGUGGAGCGGUGAAAUGCGUAGAUAUCGGGAGAGACACCAAAGGCGAAGGCACUCUGCUGGGCCAAUACUAACACUGAGAGACGAAAGCGAGGGGAGCAAAUGGGAUUAGAAACCCUUGUAGUCC